UCCCUGGUAGUCCAGUGGUUAAGACUCCAUGCUCCAAAUGCAGGGGAUCCAAGUUUGAUCCCUGGUCAGGGAA
This 73-nucleotide transfer RNA is filed under the name Ovis aries (sheep). It matches the Rfam family "tRNA". From Rfam's summary of the family: Transfer RNA (tRNA) molecules are approximately 80 nucleotides in length. Their secondary structure includes four short double-helical elements and three loops (D, anti-codon, and T loops). Lineage: Eukaryota; Metazoa; Chordata; Mammalia; Artiodactyla; Bovidae. The record is from Rfam by way of RNAcentral.